Molecule: ribosomal RNA, 433 nt
Filed under: uncultured bacterium
Lineage: Bacteria
Description: partial 16S ribosomal RNA
Rfam family: Bacterial small subunit ribosomal RNA
Source: RNAcentral
AGCGAACGCUGGCGGCAGGCUUAACACAUGCAAGUCGAGCGGGCACUUCGGUGUCAGCGGCAGACGGGUGAGUAACACGUGGGGACGUACCCUUCGGUUCGGAAUAACGCUGGGAAACUAGCGCUAAUACCGGAUACGCCCUUUUGGGGAAAGGUUUACUGCCGAAGGAUCGGCCCGCGUCUGAUUAGCUAGUUGGUGGGGUAAUGGCCUACCAAGGCGACGAUCAGUAGCUGGUCUGAGAGGAUGAUCAGCCACACUGGGACUGAGACACGGCCCAGACUCCUACGGGAGGCAGCAGUGGGGAAUAUUGGACAAUGGGCGCAAGCCUGAUCCAGCCAUGCCGCGUGAGUGAUGAAGGCCUUAGGGUUGUAAAGCUCUUUUGUCCGGGACGAUAAUGACGGUACCGGAAGAAUAAGCCCCGGCUAACUUCGUG